RNAcentral lists this long non-coding RNA (327 nucleotides) under Trifolium pratense (red clover). Its description in RNAcentral is "long non-coding RNA (TPRA_LNC010586)". The record is from RNAcentral. Lineage: Eukaryota; Viridiplantae; Streptophyta; Magnoliopsida; Fabales; Fabaceae.
GACAUGAUAGUCUUUGCAACUUAAUGCACAACUGCUUGAACACUGUCAAACUUAGUAAUGUCUAGAUAAAUCUCUGAAAUAUUUAUUCUUUAGACUAAGCUCUCUAAUUUGAAUAUAAUGGAGGUAUGAUUAGAACUAAGUGUGGGGGAAAGGCUAGAGUAACAGAUAGACCGAUCAUUGCUAUUAAUUGAGAAAAAGGGAAACUGUUUAAGAGCUAAAACUAAUGAAUAUAAUAAGUUCCUGUGCCCGAAACUGGAGGAACUAGUUCCUGUGCCCGAAACUGGAGGAACAAGUGCUGUGUAGGAUGCUCUACUCUGAGUAACAGGU